This is a long non-coding RNA of Onthophagus taurus, 1568 nucleotides long. RefSeq lists it as uncharacterized. The record is from RefSeq and is a predicted model, not a curated record. Lineage: Eukaryota; Metazoa; Arthropoda; Insecta; Coleoptera; Scarabaeidae.
UUUGCUUUAUAGUAUUAUUUUAUUUUCUCAAUCUUUUUUCAUAGUGGUGUUAUAUGAUAGCCCUAGAUCCCCGUCUCCAACUUCACGAGGGGUAAUAAUUAAUCGGAUGGAGGAGGUUGAUUGUAAGUCCUUGUUUUUUUUUUCUUUUGCUUUACAAUAUUAUUAUUAUUUUUUUUCUUUUUUCUUAGCGGAAUGUGAGGAAGAUGAUUAUGAAUCUUCAUCCUCCUCCUCCUCCUCCUCAUCCUCCUCCAACAUUAGGAGGAUCAUAGACGAGAUGGAAAUGCGGGAUCUGGGGUUAUAUGAUAGCCCCAGAUCCCCGUCUCCAACUUCACGAGGGGUAAUAAUUAAUCGGAUGGAGGAGGUUGAUUGAUGUACAAACAAGGUAAUGGGGAUGGGCGGUCCAGGAUAUGUAGUGACUUAAAAAAAUAAAUAAUAAUAAAUGUAUGUCUUAAACAAAUCAUUUUGUUGUUUCUAUUUCACCUUACAGCCAUCAAUUCAAUCCGUGUAAAUUCAAUUAAAUGAGUAAAUGAGUUUUAUCUAUUUGUAAUUUUUAUUUUAAAAUGUGUAAAUAUAUUUAAAUUGGGUUAAUUGAGAAAAUUAAAUUGUAUUAUUUAAACCUUUUCCGCCUUUUAUUUAAAUGUAUUUUUUUCCACGUACAUCAUUUUUGUUACUGAAAAUGCAUUAAAACAAUUUUAUAAUUUGUAUUAUUUUUUUACUUCCUUAAUAUUAAUUAUACAAUAGCAUUUCAUUUAGGUCAAUUAUUCCAUUGCUCGGCAUUAUUGCAGCCGCUAGGUAAUUUGACACUUCCGUCGGCGAGGUGUAUUGCACCUUGGCGAUGCGCCGCGUUGUAAUUUUACACCACUUCCGCCCGACGAGGAAAGCAUUGUAUCGCGUAAUUCAUAAUCAGUUUAACUUUAGAAACCGAACGCGUCAAACGUAAACCGCGCGCAAUGUCUCUGUGUUUUUUUUACGAUCUUUGUGAGUUUAAACUAAAGAAAAAAUUUAUUCGAAGUUGAGUUGGAUGAAUUUACCCUAUCUAUUGUUCAUGGAAAAAAACGUCUUACGAGCCACCAUGUCUCGUCGUUAAUCUUUUUUCAAGCAUAUAAUUACAUGUUCUUAAUAAUUUAUUCAGUUUGGCAGCUAUUUGUAAGCUAACAAGUUACGUUUUAUUAUUAUUAAUCUACGAAACAGUUGUUCAAGGAACGAACCAUGUCUCGUCUAAGUCAAUUGGGUCAGUGUAAUUUCCUACCGAAAGAGUCAAUUUCUGAGCUUCAACCGGACACUCCAUAUCCAAUUAAGUGCGCGAAACGUCUUAAAACGUGUUCUUGACCGUCCGUGGUACUUGAGUUGGAGGCUGGAUUCAUGAUUUCUUUACCAAGACGCAUCGCUGAAGAUAUUGCUGACGAGGAAAUCAUCGAACUCAGGAAAAUGUGCAUAAUUUAUAAGGGUGCAAAAGACAUCGGUAAAACUCACCCUGUAUAUUUAUUGGAUUUCAUCAAGAAACCUGAAACGUAAAAAAUUUCCUACCGAUGACCCUGAUGUUCAUCUGUAUGUAUAUAAAUUUCAUA